This 469-nucleotide ribosomal RNA is filed under the name uncultured bacterium. Its description in RNAcentral is "bacterial SSU rRNA". It matches the Rfam family "Bacterial small subunit ribosomal RNA", at positions 28 to 496 of the family's 1533-position model. The record is from RNAcentral.
GAUGAACGCUAGCGGCAGGCUUAACACAUGCAAGUCGAGGGGUAGAAGGAGCUUGCUCCUUUGAGACCGGCGCACGGGUGCGUAACGCGUAUGCAAUCUACCUUUUGCAGAGGAUAGCCCAGAGAAAUUUGGAUUAAUACCUCAUAGUAUGUGAGGAUGGCAUCAUUUUCACAUUAAAGUCACAACGGCAAAAGAUGAGCAUGCGUCCCAUUAGCUAGUUGGUAAGGUAACGGCUUACCAAGGCUACGAUGGGUAGGGGUCCUGAGAGGGAGAUCCCCCCACACUGGUACUGAGACACGGACCAGACUCCUACGGGAGGCAGCAGUGAGGAAUAUUGGACAAUGGGCGCAAGCCUGAUCCAGCCAUGCCGCGUGCAGGAUGACGGUCCUAUGGAUUGUAAACUGCUUUUAUACAGGAAGAAACACUCCGACGUGUCGGAGCUUGACGGUACUGUAAGAAUAAGGAUCGG